CCGAGGAGGGAGGGGGAAAAUCCGUGGGCCUUUUUCAGUCACGCCUGCGCGGUCGCCUCCUCCUCCUCCUCCUCCUCCUCCACGAGCUCCGUCUUGUGUCACGGGCGCUGACGACAGCAGCCGCCUCCGCAUCCCGUCGCCAUGGCAACCUUUUUGUUGCCUCCAACGCUCGAGUGGUCCAGCCGAGGAGGGGGGCAGCAAGGGCGGUAUAUAGACAAGGCUUGGGUGGGGGGGAAUCAGGGAAGGAAACUCCAGUUCCCCACCCAGAAAAGAGGAAGGCUGGAGAAAUCCUGCGGGAAGGAGAGGAACUGAACCAGGAGGACCGAAGCAAAGAGAUUUAUUAUAUUGUUUAAUGUAAAUUGUACAGACGCUGCUUUUACAGAGUGGGCUACUUGGAAGGAGGAGGGGAGGAAGAAAAGGCAAACCCACCUGGAAAAGGAGAAAUCCUUAGCCUUCUUCCACAAGGGAGAGAGCAGAUUUCUUGACAAAGAAGAGUUGGGGGAACUGUCCUGAAAGUCUCUGUUGAAAAACAGCACUGACUGCUGUUAUGUAUGCUGAACCAUCCACCAUGAAUUUCCGGAACCAUGGGUUCUUUCGCCGUUCUCCACCCACUUCAGUGGCGAAGCCAUCUCCUGUUGCUGGGAACACAUUGUCGGUCUUAGGAGGCAUUGCUCAAAUCUCUCCUUGUCUCUAUCUUUGCUCUGGCAAUGCUGCAUCGAAUAGACACAUGGUGUAUUCCCGGGCAGUGACCUGUGUAGUAAAUGCUACCAUGGAAAUCCCCAAUGCCAACUGGCCAGAUAUUGACUAUGUGAAGGUGCCUGUUCCGGACCUCCCUCACGCUCCACUGUCUUUGUACUUUGACUCCGUGGCUGAUAGGAUACACCAGACAGGGAAGAAGAAUGGAAGAACUCUAGUCCACUGCGUGGCAGGUGUCAGCCGGUCUGCCUCUCUCUGUAUUGCUUACCUAAUGAAAUAUCAUCGGUUGAGCCUUUUGGAUGCUCAUGAGUGGGUGAAGAGCAGGCGACCGGUUGUAAGGCCCAAUGUAGGUUUCUGGAGACAGCUCAUUGAAUAUGAACGCAAGCUGUUUGGCAAGAACACCGUCAAGAUGGUGCCUUCACCCAUUGGGUUGGUUCCAGAUGUCUAUGAAAAGGAGACCCGUGGGCUGGUCCCCUUGUGGAAUUUGAGAUAAAGACUAUCAUUGAAAUGGGCUAUGGGCCACCUUAACUUAGAAUGAAAAAGUUCCAUCAUGUUAGGAUGUUUAACAGGACUGUUCAAUGUGGUGGAUCUUAAUAAGAAAUUCUGUUUAAUGGUAGUCUUUUUCUAAGAUCUCGCAAUAUGAGUACAGUAGAUCAUGGAAAAGAAAUGAGUUGCUUGAACUUUUCAGUGUGAUAAGACAAUGUUGUUUGUUAUCAUCCUAUCAAACAUUGCUAAGAAUCUGUAUCUUGCUUACAGUCUGAGAUGAGAAAUGGUUAAACACAAACGUACAGGCAGUAAAGAUUAUUGUACUAUCACAGAUUCCAAGGUCUUGCUACAUUAAUCUUUGCAUAGUAAGGAGAAAUAUCUUUCUCUUUUCCUUCCCCUUCUGCUUCAAGAGUUUCAGAAAUCCUUCCUUGGGUUUGCUUUAACUUGAAUAAGCCCAAUACACUUUCCUUUCUGGAAUGUUAAGCCCUAAGGCGAUGUGAAUUAAAACAAUGAUUCAUCCAAAGAUUCAGGAUUUUGAGGAAUGCACCUAAACUAAACAGCAAUAGCCAAGAAGCUGAGGAUGGCACAACUAUCACCAAUAGGAAUAAGAUGUCAAAUCUACAAGGGAAUGUUAUUUCAUACAUACAUUCACUAAGCAGGUUGCAACUUGGCCAAGGUAUUCCACUCUUGUGGGGAAGAUAGGAAUUUUUGAAUAUUGGCUCAGGUUAACUCCAACAGGGUGAUAUAAUUGGAUAGGGGUUCGAAGAACAAAUAUGCCAAUCAAGCCUUCUUCAUACCCCUUGUUAAGAUUCAAAAGUAUGUAUCAGGGAAGUUUUUUCAACACACUGCACCUUAAAAAAGUGAAAAAGAGAACAUCUUGAAAGUUAACACUUUCAGUCAGGCUAGAAGUACGACUUCAAAAAUGUUUAAAACUAUAUAGUGAACAAGUAAUAGAGUCAUAAUUUGGUGUCAGCAAGCAGUCCUGUCGUUUUGAUUAUGUGAUUUGUAGUAUUUUGUAACAGGAUUCCUAAGUAAAGCCUUUUUAAUAAUAUAAAUAGGAAGGUGUAUCCAGAAUUGAGCGAAUAUCGAGGUCUAAGAGUGGCACUGUGUUUCUUAACUUUGGCAGGUUUAAGAUACAUGGACUUCAACUCCCAGAAUUCCCCAGCCAGCCAUGCUAGCUGGGAA
Notechis scutatus (mainland tiger snake) is the source of this 2367-nucleotide non-coding RNA. Lineage: Eukaryota; Metazoa; Chordata; Lepidosauria; Squamata; Elapidae. The record is from RefSeq and is a predicted model, not a curated record.